Molecule: ribosomal RNA, 244 nt
Filed under: uncultured bacterium
Lineage: Bacteria
Description: partial 16S ribosomal RNA
Rfam family: Bacterial small subunit ribosomal RNA
Source: RNAcentral
ACGCGUGAGUAACCUGCCUUUCAGAGGGGGAUAACGUUCUGAAAAGAACGCUAAUACCGCAUGAGACUACAGAGCUGCAUGGCUCAGUGGUCAAAGGAGCAAUCCGCUGAAAGAUGGACUCGCGUCCGAUUAGAUAGUAGGCGGGGUAACGGCCCACCUAGUCGACGAUGCAUAGGGGGACUGAGAGGUUGAACGGCCACAUUGGGACUGAGACACGGCCCAGACUCCUACGGGAGGCAGCAUG